CCUACGGGUGGCAGCAGUGAGGAAUAUUGGUCAAUGGACGGGAGCCUGAACCAGCCAAGUAGCGUGAAGGAAGAAGGCACUUAGUGUUGUAAACUUCUUUUAUCCGGGAAUAAAGGCGGCGACGCGUCGACGUAUGAGUGUACCUGAAGAAUAAGGAUCGGCUAAAUCCGUGCCAGCAGCCGCGGUAAUACGGAGGAUCCGAGCGUUAUCCGGGUUUAUUGGGUUUAAAGGGAGCGUAGGCGGGUAGUUAAGGUAGCCGGUAAAAUGUGGGGCUCAACCCUCGGACGGCCGUUGAAACUGGUUGUCUUGAGUUCGAUAGAGGUAUGCGGAAUUCGUGGUGUAGCGGUGAAAUGCAUAGAUAUCACGAAGAACUCCGAUUGCGAAAGCAGCAUACCGGAUCCAUACUGACGCUGAGGCACGAAAGCGUGGGUAUCGAACAGGAUUAGAUACCCGUGUAGUC
This 460-nucleotide ribosomal RNA is filed under the name uncultured bacterium. Its description in RNAcentral is "partial 16S ribosomal RNA". It matches the Rfam family "Bacterial small subunit ribosomal RNA", at positions 338 to 795 of the family's 1533-position model. The record is from RNAcentral.